GACGCCGCGGAGGAAACGUGAACGCUUUCGCGGAACAAAAGUAGGCAUAAACUCGGGACUUCGCAGAGCUGUGAGCCAAGUGGAAAAGAAAGGUUUACAAAGCCUUUUAGAGCUACUUCUGUUUCCUAUUUCGAGUCUGUGCCCCUAACCUCAGAGAAUCUGGAGAGAUGACUGUACGCCUAACAGGUUAUAAUUCUAGAUUUGUUUUGUGUCUUUUUUUUUUUUUGGUCAUGUCAGGAGCGACUUGAGAAAUUGCAAGUCACUUCUGGUGUCUAUAUAAGGCAUUAAACAAUUGACAUAUGUAAGCUGUCUUGAGUUCCCCUUGGGGUAGGGAAAAGCAGGGUAUAAAUAUCCCAAACAGUUCAUAAUUCUAAGGGCUUUCUUUUGGGGAUUUUAUUCUGAAAAAUUUCAUAUUCUUUUAACAGUUUAUAAUUCUGGGAUCCCCCCCCCCCUUUUUUUUAAUGCACCCUUAAUAGCCCAAAAAACUCACAGCAACUCACUGUUAACUGUUUGGCAUAAUGGGUUACAAAAAGUUCUUUGCAACUCUCCCUCAUCUGUAUUUUAUUAUUUAUGCAGAAUCUUAAAGUCUAACUUUAGAGCUCUGUCCUUCAAAAAUGAAAUUCAAUGAAAAAUUACUUUAUAAUUAUAAAAUAUGUAUUUUGCUCCCCCCUCCAAAAACAGUAUACUCUCUUUUUGUUGUAGGCAAACCUUUCACAGGGUUUUUCUGGGAAGAUUUGUACAGAAGGGGUUCCACGUCUGCCUCAAAGGCUGAGAGAGUGUGCAGUUUAUCAAUCUGGGAUUUAUUUCCCAAAACACACUGUAGCAAUGCCUUUAUUAGACCCAUUAAAAUAUGGAAAAUAUUAUGUAAAUGUUAAAGCUCAUAAGCUUUUUCAUUAAACAUACACAAACUUCUAAGUAAAUGCUAUUGGGUUGUGCUUUAAAACUAACCUGAUAGUAAUAUCUUCUUUGCUGUUCUAGUCAUCUCAACCCGGCAAAACAGCUUUAUGUUUUUAACUGGUUAUGGGAGGAGUACUAGUUUUUGUAAGUGACAACACUAAGCAAUGCUUUUAAUUGAAUAUAUGUAAAUUCAAGGUAGUGUUUUUAGAUUGCAUUCUUGUAACAUUGUAUGUAUGGGCAAAAGAAUUUACAGGACUGAAAAUAUGCAUUCAUGUUGAAAGCAACCAUAAAUUGGGUAUUUUUAAAAUUAUUUGAACAGCAGGUACUUGUGAUAAAAAUAGUUUCAGUACAAUAACUUUAUUUGUGGACUUCAUUCCAUUUGAAAAAGUUGUCUCAAAUUAUAAAUGUCUCCUCAAAUAAUUUAAUUGUUUUGUUUUUCCCUUGAGCUUUCAGGAAGCAUUGAGUCUUCUUUCAUGUCCAGUUGAUUUUCAAAAUGAUUCCUAUCCUGUAAUUUUAUAAGUAUUUGUAUUUUUAGAAAUUAAUGGGAUGUGUUCAGUUGUUUUGUUGCAAGGGUCUGUUUUUGGUUGAUCAAAAGGUCUUUAAUUAAUCUAACCAGUGAUGAGUCACUUAAAACACUAAUUACAAAGAAAACUUGAUGCACACUGAAAAAAUAGAAGUACCUUGAGUGGCAAUUGAAAAUAAUGGGGAUAAAAGGAAAAUUUGUUUUCAGUUUAAGUACUACACAUUUAGAAGUGAACUAAAGAACUAUGUGCCAGUUAAUGAUAAUGCAAAUGUUUGGCAUAAUGGGUUACAAAAAGUUCUUCGCAACUCUCCCUCAUCUGUAUUUUAUUAUUUAUGCAGAGUUUUAAAGUCUUAAGUUUAAAAAAUGACAUACAAGGAAAAAUUAGUGGCAUAAACAACACAGACAAUAUACAUUCUGAGAAGCUGUGCUGAAAUACAAAGCUGAUUAGUGGUAGCAUUGAAAAGGAAGGUUUUGGAGAGUCAUCUGAACACAUGGAAAGAAGGUGUAAGGCAUAACCCUGCUUUUCCAAACCUGGUGUUUUAAAAAUAUAGUGACUUCUAUAGAGUAUUGGCCAGAUUCUAGACAUAGAACUGCAUAUGGGAUGUAGUUUGGCAUGCCAAAUAAUUUGUGGAGGAAUUUCGAGUGGAAAGAUCUGAUGGCACUAUUAUUAGGGGUUAACCAAAUGGGAGCUCCAUAGAGUAGUUAUGCUAUUGCCUUUGUUUUUCAAACAAAUAGGAAGUUCCCUUUUUUACAAUUUAUACUGUUUUAUUUUACUGUUUUGCUAUAUAUAUGCCAAUAAAGAUCUAUUGGAUUGGAUUGGAUUGGAUUAAAAUAUGUUGCACCACAAUUCCCAGAAUCCCCAAUGGAGAUGGUACUUGGUUUGGGAAGGCUGAUUUAAGCCAAGAGGAUUAACUUUAUACUCCUAUUUAAAAAUAUGUUACUUAAUAAAUGACAAAAUUAUGACUCACACCCAGUUUGACUGCAUGCUGUUUCCUUUCAUAACUCAUGGCAGCGUUGGCUUCCAAGACAAUAUAUCAAAUGUCAAAAAUGUGUCCAAUGUCACAUGUGCGAGUCACAUCAGUUACUACUUGCUAUCUAGCCGAACAUGCUUAUUGCAUAAACUCAGACGAGUGUAUAUCUGAAGAUUGUGGCAAAAUUAGAAUUAAAGCUGUACAACUUUGCUGCCAUUGCAGUAUAUGUAAAUCACAUAUCUUGAGUAUGUAAGAUUUGCUUCCAGCUGGACUAUGUUUUGCUCCCUUCGAAAAAGCAUAGUACAAAACCAUGCUGAUAGGUAUGCUACUGGAAUAUAUUAUCCAGUCUUCCUAGAUAGAAGCUCCACUUUUUACUGUCCAAAUAAUAUAUAAGACAUCUAAAUGAUAUCUUAUGCAUUGUUUUAUUAUAUAUCAUUUAUAUGCAUUAUUGAUGGCAAUGGUUGUCAACCUUUGAUCCUCUGUGGAUUUGGAUUCCAAGUUCCAGAAUCCCUAUUCGCUUUGAGGAGCUGAAAUCAAGAAUAUUUGGAUCUCACAGCUUUUCAAACAACAGAACUGGGAACAAAUACAUAGGUUUCCGCAUCAUUCCAAAAUUACCCUCAGCUUUACUGAAACUUGCAAUGCUUCCAUGUUCGUGUUGACUAUUUUAGGGCCUUUCUUAGGAUCUUCAAUAACCUUUAUGGUGGGCUGAAGAAAUGUUAACCUUGUAUUAUCUCAUUGUCUUCAAUGCUCUUUUGGGCCAAGCCAUCUCAUCCUUUUUACACAAGGAUGUGACUUGAAUGCUGGUUAGCCUCCUGUUCGUGAAAAGUCCAUGUUGCAUGCUAUAAUGAAAUUUAGAGCAAAUAUGCUAAGCACUCCAUUGCGGUUGUGCAGGGAUAAUCACAGAUAAAUGUAAAAUCAAGUCUACUGGCAAAAAAUCUUUUUUAUGGUUCCAAGAAAGAAGAACUGCUGACGAGAUCCUUUGAGGUUGUUGAAUCAACUGAAAUUACCAAAUUCUCACUCAAGUCACAUAUUGAGUGGGGGAGAGAAAAAAUACAGCAGAUACAUUAUGGCUUUGGUCUUUGCCUGUGCUGGUUCUGAGAAGGAAGAGGAAAACUCAGGAGAGGAAUAUCUAGUGGAAACAUUGCUUUUCCUAACAAGUCUAUACUAGAUUUGCCUAAAAUAGUGACAUUCUCAAAGUAUUUAGAUCUUUUAAAUGUUAAAAAUGCACUAGAAACAGGAGGAUAUGGACAGAAUGGUAGAUAUUCUUGACCCAAUGUAUGUCAGCAUAAGUAACUUUGGUGUGCUUCUUCAAAACACAAACCACCCACAAAGAGCAUGGUGACCUACCCAUAAGUAGUUCUUAAUUACACCAUUGUGGUUAUGAAACAGAACGGCCUACCAAUAAUAUGGGAGUUUCAAAAGCACAUGGAACACUGGAAUUUGGCUUGGUGUCAAAUCCUGAUACAACCGCUGAUUUAUUAUGGGUAGGGUUGAUGAUAUGCCAGAGAUGCAUGGGGAACCCUAGUUGUUGGUUAGUUAAGAGCAGUGCUUUGGUGAAUAUUGCUCAAUUGCUCCAGCCAUUGCAUGGGAAAGACACAAAGCCAAGGAUGCAUGCUAAUAACAUUUAGUGACUCCUAUUGCUACUGGGAGCAGUUGAGCAUAUAUGCCAGUGGUUCUUAUUUGUAUUAUCUGAACUAGGUCAUUAAGUGACUUGCAACUAGUUAUGCCCCAGCUUCACAACAAUGUGUCUAAAAACUCUUGUCAAUUAUUUGACAAAGUUUUAGACAUGUUUCUAUGAAGCUAGGACAUAAAAUUAGGGUUGUAACUCAUUUUAGUGAAAUGUAUACAUACGGAAAUAGCGAUCAAUAUUUUACAAAUUGUAUGUCUCUUGUAGGGGUUUUAUAUUAACUUUAUUGCCGUAUUUCAUUCAACACUUACUCAGUGUUGUCUUUGCCUAAAUGGUGGCAAAAGUGGUUAUCCACUGGAUAAUCCUUAGCAUCAUAUAAAUUUUGAAAGCGAGGGAAUCCGUUUUUCAAUGAUCACUUGUACUUUGUUCAGCAUUGCAUAUUUAAGGUUAUUACACAGGGUCUGAAGUCAAAACAAGAGCCAAAGUACUUCUUGCCAACAGUUACCAACAAAAUCUAGAUUAAUUAAUCCCAAUAAUGCCAGACUUCAAAGGCUGAUCACAGCUAUCUUCAUAAUUUUACUAUGAGGGUUCAAGAGAUAUGACACCACACCCCACUUCCUUAUCUCGUCCAUGACCAGCAUCAUUUUAAAUUAAUUACAUUUGGCCCAGCCAUAGAUUGUAAAGUGUCUUGUACUAUUGUCAAUGCUUACGUUAUUGUCGAUGUGAUUUAUUUUAAAUGCAUGUAUUGCUAUUGUUAUUGCUUGUAUUAUUGUAUUGUGGGCUCGGCCUCAUGUAAGCCGCACCAAGUCCCUUGGGGAGAUGGUAGCGGGGUAUAAAUAAAGUAUUAUUAUUAUUAUUAUUAUUUUAAAUAAUUAUACCCUUAACUGUGUUUUGUACUGGUAAUGCUUUUCAUUGCACAAAAUAAUAAAGAACUUAGACAACA
Molecule: non-coding RNA, 4961 nt
Organism: Anolis sagrei ordinatus
Lineage: Eukaryota; Metazoa; Chordata; Lepidosauria; Squamata; Anolidae
Source: RefSeq, a predicted model, not a curated record